UUUGCCUGUAGCGGCAUUGCAGGUAUGGCUGCUCUGUCACACAUGUGUGUGUCAGUAAGUGGCAGAAAGGAGAGAGGCUAUGUCUAUGUUCAGUGUUCUGACCUGUGAACAUAGGAAUGAUGAGUAGCCUAACGGG
This is a small nucleolar RNA of Apodemus sylvaticus (European woodmouse), 136 nucleotides long. RefSeq annotates it as small nucleolar RNA SNORA17. The transcript has a single exon. The record is from RefSeq and is a predicted model, not a curated record. Lineage: Eukaryota; Metazoa; Chordata; Mammalia; Rodentia; Muridae.